RNAcentral lists this ribosomal RNA (635 nucleotides) under Agromyces sp. So1Pw_1140. RNAcentral describes it as "bacterial SSU rRNA". It matches the Rfam family "Bacterial small subunit ribosomal RNA", at positions 383 to 1019 of the family's 1533-position model. The record is from RNAcentral. Lineage: Bacteria; Bacillati; Actinomycetota; Actinomycetes; Micrococcales; Microbacteriaceae.
CUGAUGCAGCAACGCCGCGUGCGGGAUGACGGCCUUCGGGUUGUAAACCGCUUUUAGUAAGGAAGAAGGGGAGCUUGCUCCUUGACGGUACUUGCAGAAAAAGGACCGGCUAACUACGUGCCAGCAGCCGCGGUAAUACGUAGGGUCCGAGCGUUGUCCGGAAUUAUUGGGCGUAAAGAGCUCGUAGGCGGUUUGUCGCGUCUGCUGUGAAAUCUGGAGGCUCAACCUCCAGCCUGCAGUGGGUACGGGCAGACUAGAGUGCGGUAGGGGAGAAUGGAAUUCCUGGUGUAGCGGUGGAAUGCGCAGAUAUCAGGAGGAACACCGAUGGCGAAGGCAGUUCUCUGGGCCGUAACUGACGCUGAGGAGCGAAAGCGUGGGGAGCGAACAGGAUUAGAUACCCUGGUAGUCCACGCCGUAAACGUUGGGCGCUAGAUGUGGGGACCUUUCCACGGUUUCCGUGUCGUAGCUAACGCAUUAAGCGCCCCGCCUGGGGAGUACGGCCGCAAGGCUAAAACUCAAAGGAAUUGACGGGGGCCCGCACAAGCGGCGGAGCAUGCGGAUUAAUUCGAUGCAACGCGAAGAACCUUACCAAGGCUUGACAUGACCGAGAACGCCCUAGAAAUAGGGAACUCUUU